GGAAGAGCGGGAUCCUGAGCGAGGCGCGGUAGGAGGCCAACACCUGACAUGCUGCUGCUCCUGCUGCUCCUGGGGCCCAGCUCCGGGCUGGGUGCUCGGGUCUCCCAGGAUCCAAGCACCGCGAUCUGCAAGAGCGGCGCCUCCGUGCAGAUCGAGUGCCGAGCGGUGGACUUGCAGGCCCAGACCGUGUUUUGGUAUCGUCAGCUCCCGAAGCAGGGCCUCACGCUGAUGGCGACUUCAAACGUGGGCUCCAGCACCACGCACGAGCCAGAUUUCCCCGAGGCCAAGUUUCCUAUUAGCCAUCCAAACCUCACAUUUUUCUCUCUGACGGUGACGAGUGCGAGUCCUGAGGACAGCAGCCUCUACCUCUGCAGGGCCUAG
This is a non-coding RNA of Lontra canadensis (Northern American river otter), 381 nucleotides long. The record is from the annotation of a RefSeq genome assembly. NCBI's taxonomy places the organism in Eukaryota, Metazoa, Chordata, Mammalia, Carnivora, Mustelidae.